CUCACAGCUGGUACCCAGAAGGUAGUGAACCAAACGAAGACACUAUGGGCAAAAUACAGUGCUGGAGGUGUGGGGAGGGGACAGGGAGAAGAUGCGGCAGUCCCUGCCCUCAGAGGGCUACCGUCCAGGGGUUCGGUGAGACAAGCAAACAGAAAAACAGAAGCUUGCAGAAUGAGUCAGGGGAAGGUGCUGGGGAUACGGUACGAGAACCCACCUUGGUCUGGGAGGAGCUUACAACCUUUGAAAGAAGACAGAUUCAUGAAAAACAUAAGCAACAAGAACCAAAAGGAGGACACUGGCUUCCAAGACGGUGGACAGGGAGAUUGCUGGAGAAGCUGAUGGGUGCUAUAUUAUUUUAUGAGAGAGAGCACGAGGAGCAGAGGGAGAGG
Molecule: long non-coding RNA, 389 nt
Organism: Mustela erminea (ermine)
Lineage: Eukaryota; Metazoa; Chordata; Mammalia; Carnivora; Mustelidae
Exons: 3
Source: RefSeq, a predicted model, not a curated record